GUGGCCAAGUUUUUAAGGGCGCACGGUGGAUGCCUUGGCACCAGGAACCGAUGAAGGACGUGGGAGGCCGCGAUAGUCCCCGGGGAGUCGUCAACCAGGCUUUGAUCCGGGGGUUUCCGAAUGGGGAAACCCGGCAGUCGUCAUGGGCUGUCACCCACUGCUGAACACAUAGGCAGUGUGGAGGGAACGAGGGGAAGUGAAACAUCUCAGUACCCUCAGGAAGAGAAAACAACCGUGAUUCCGGGAGUAGUGGCGAGCGAAACCGGAUGAGGCCAAACCGUAUGCGUGUGAGACCCGGCAGGGGUUGCGCAUGCGGGGUUGUGGGAUCUCUCUUCUGUCGUCUGCCGGCGACAGGACGAGUCAGAAACCGUUGAUGUAGGCGAAGGACAUGCGAAAGGUCCGGCGUAGAGGGUAAGACCCCCGUAGUCGAAACGUCAGCGGCUCGUUUGAGAGACACCCAAGUAGCACGGGGCCCGAGAAAUCCCGUGUGAAUCUGGCGGGACCACCCGCUAAGCCUAAAUAUUCCCUGGUGACCGAUAGCGGAUAGUACCGUGAGGGAAUGGUGAAAAGUACCGCGGGAGCGGAGUGAAAUAGUACCUGAAACCGUGUGCCUACAAGCCGUGGGAGCGUCGGAAUGUGCUUGCACAUUCUCGUGACUGCGUGCCUUUUGAAGAAUGAGCCUGCGAGUUUGCGGUGUGUUGCGAGGUUAACCCGGGUGGGGAAGCCGUAGCGAAAGCGAGUCCGAAUAGGGCGAUUUUAGUAGCACGCUCAAGACCCGAAGCGGAGUGAUCUAGCCAUGGGCAGGUUGAAGCGGAGGUAAGACUUCGUGGAGGACCGAACCCACCAGGGUUGAAAACCUGGGGGAUGACCUGUGGUUAGGGGUGAAAGGCCAAUCAAACUCCGUGAUAGCUGGUUCUCCCCGAAAUGCAUUUAGGUGCAGCGUCGUGUGUUUCUUGCCGGAGGUAGAGCACUGGAUAGGCGAUGGGCCCUACCGGGUUACUGACCUUAGCCAAACUCCGAAUGCCGGUAAGUGAGAGCGCGGCAGUGAGACUGUGGGGGAUAAGCUCCAUGGUCGAGAGGGAAACAGCCCAGAGCAUCGACUAAGGCCCCUAAGCGUACGCUAAGUGGGAAAGGAUGUGGAGUCGCACAGACAACCAGGAGGUUGGCUUAGAAGCAGCCACCCUUGAAAGAGUGCGUAAUAGCUCACUGGUCUAGUGAUUCCGCGCCGACAAUGUAGCGGGGCUCAAGCGUACCGCCGAAGUCGUGUCAUUGCAGCAUAUAGCCCCAACGGGUGCUGUGAUGGGUAGGGGAGCGUCGUCUGCCGGGUGAAGCAGCACCGGAAGGUAGUUGUGGACGGUUGACGAGUGAGAAUGCAGGCAUGAGUAGCGAUACAAACGUGAGAAACGUUUGCGCCGAUUGACUAAGGGUUCCUGGGUCAAGCUGAUCUGCCCAGGGUAAGUCGGGACCUAAGGCGAGGCCGACAGGCGUAGUCGAUGGAUAACCGGUUGAUAUUCCGGUACCCGCUGUGAAGCGUCAAACAUCGAACCUAUUGAUGCUAAGGCCGUGAAGCCGUUCCGGACCCUUCGGGGAAAGGAAAGUGGUGGAGCCGCUGACCCAAGAUGGUAGUAGGUGAGUGAUGGGGUGACGCAGGAAGGUAGUCCAUCCCGGGCGGUGGUUGUCCCGGGGUAAGGGUGUAGGACGUGAGGUAGGCAAAUCCGCCUUGCAUGUAGUCUGAGACCUGAUGCCGAGCCGAUUGUGGCGAAGUGGAUGAUCCUAUGCUGUCGAGAAAAGCCUCUAGCGAGUUUCAUGGCGGCCCGUACCCUAAACCGACUCAGGUGGUCAGGUAGAGAAUACCGAGGCGUUCGGGUGAACUAUGGUUAAGGAACUCGGCAAAAUGCCCCCGUAACUUCGGGAGAAGGGGGGCCAUUCCUGGUGAGAACACUUGCUGUUCGAGCUGGGGGUGGCCGCAGAGACCAGCGAGAAGCGACUGUUUACUAAAAACACAGGUCCGUGCGAAGCCGUAAGGCGAUGUAUACGGACUGACGCCUGCCCGGUGCUGGAACGUUAAGGGGACCGGUUAGCUCCAUUUCGGUGGGGCGAAGCUGAGAACUUAAGCGCCAGUAAACGGCGGUGGUAACUAUAACCAUCCUAAGGUAGCGAAAUUCCUUGUCGGGUAAGUUCCGACCUGCACGAAUGGCGUAACGACUUCUCGACUGUCUCAACCAUAGGCCCGGUGAAAUUGCACUACGAGUAAAGAUGCUCGUUUCGCGCAGCAGGACGGAAAGACCCCGGGACCUUUACUACAGUUUGAUAUUGGUGUUCGGUUCGGCUUGUGUAGGAUAGCUGGGAGACUGUGAAAGCCAUACGCCAGUAUGGUGGGAGUCGUCGUUGAAAUACCAGUCUGGUCGUGCUGGAUGUCUAACCUGGGUCCGUGAUCCGGAUCAGGGACAGUGUCUGAUGGGUAGUUUAACUGGGGCGGUUGCCUCCUAAAGAGUAACGGAGGCGCCCAAAGGUUCCCUCAGCCUGGUUGGCAAUCAGGUGUUGAGUGUAAGUGCACAAGGGAGCUUGACUGUGAGACCGACGGGUCGAGCAGGGACGAAAGUCGGGACUAGUGAUCCGGCGGUGGCUUGUGGAAGCGCCGUCGCUCAACGGAUAAAAGGUACCCCGGGGAUAACAGGCUGAUCUUCCCCAAGAGUCCAUAUCGACGGGAUGGUUUGGCACCUCGAUGUCGGCUCGUCGCAUCCUGGGGCUGGAGUCGGUCCCAAGGGUUGGGCUGUUCGCCCAUUAAAGCGGUACGCGAGCUGGGUUUAGAACGUCGUGAGACAGUUCGGUCCCUAUCCGCUGUGCGCGUAGGAGUCUUGAGAAGGGCUGUCCCUAGUACGAGAGGACCGGGACGGACGAACCUCUGGUGUGCCAGUUGUUCUGCCAAGGGCAUGGCUGGUUGGCUACGUUCGGGAGGGAUAACCGCUGAAAGCAUCUAAGCGGGAAGCCUGCUUCGAGAUGAGGACUCCCACCCACUUGAUGGGGUAAGGCUCCCAGUAGACGACUGGGUUGAUAGGCCAGAUAUGGAAGCCCGGUAACGGGUGGAGUUGACUGGUACUAAUAGGCCGAGGGCUUGUCCUCA
This 3124-nucleotide ribosomal RNA is filed under the name Streptomyces sp. Ag109_G2-15. RNAcentral's name for it is "bacterial LSU rRNA". It matches the Rfam family "Bacterial large subunit ribosomal RNA". The record is from RNAcentral. Lineage: Bacteria; Bacillati; Actinomycetota; Actinomycetes; Kitasatosporales; Streptomycetaceae.